Molecule: ribosomal RNA, 509 nt
Filed under: uncultured bacterium
Lineage: Bacteria
Description: bacterial SSU rRNA
Rfam family: Bacterial small subunit ribosomal RNA
Source: RNAcentral
CUGGCUCAGGAUGAACGCUAGCUACAGGCUUAACACAUGCAAGUCGAGGGGCAGCAUUGGAGUAGCAAUACUUCAGAUGGCGACCGGCGCACGGGUGAGUAACACGUAUCCAACCUGCCGCUUACUCGGGGAUAGCCUUUCGAAAGAAAGAUUAAUACCCGAUGGUAUAAAGAGUUCGCAUGUUCUCUUUAUUAAAGAAUUUCGGUAAGCGAUGGGGAUGCGUUCCAUUAGAUAGUUGGCGGGGUAACGGCCCACCAAGUCUACGAUGGAUAGGGGUUCUGAGAGGAAGGUCCCCCACAUUGGAACUGAGACACGGUCCAAACUCCUACGGGAGGCAGCAGUGAGGAAUAUUGGUCAAUGGACGAGAGUCUGAACCAGCCAAAAGUAGCGUGAAGGAUGACUGCCCUAUGGGUUGUAAACUUCUUUUAUAAGGGAAUAAAGUGAGGGACGUGUCCCUUUUUGUAUGUACCUUAUGAAUAAGGAUCGGCUAACUCCGUGCCAGCCGCCGC